RNAcentral lists this ribosomal RNA (253 nucleotides) under uncultured bacterium. RNAcentral describes it as "partial 16S ribosomal RNA". It matches the Rfam family "Bacterial small subunit ribosomal RNA", at positions 524 to 776 of the family's 1533-position model. The record is from RNAcentral. RNAcentral also lists the same sequence under 1 other name.
UACGGAGGGUGCAAGCGUUGUCCGGAUUUAUUGGGUUUAAAGGGUGCGUAGGUGGCUAUUUAAGUCAGUGGUGAAAGCCUGCAGCUUAACUGUAGGACUGCCAUUGAUACUGAAUAGCUUGAGUACUGAUGAGGUAGGCGGAAUUGAUAGUGUAGCGGUGAAAUGCAUAGAUAUUAUCAAGAACACCGAUUGCGAAGGCAGCUUACUAAGGAGUUACUGACACUGAGGCACGAAAGCGUGGGGAUCAAACAGG